Molecule: long non-coding RNA, 1453 nt
Filed under: Coturnix japonica (Japanese quail)
Lineage: Eukaryota; Metazoa; Chordata; Aves; Galliformes; Phasianidae
Description: lncRNA (ENSCJPG00005001257.1)
Source: RNAcentral
AAAGGAACAAAUGUUAGAAAUUCCCAAAGUCACUUUGGUUACCUUUUGGAUUUAAAAAAAAAAACCAAAAAAAACCCAAAAAAAAACAGAACCCCUAAAUCCAGGAUAGUUCUUUCCAACAUCCUCUUGAAACUUUUGCAGCCUUCUGGGCCAUGUGAAUUUAUAAUUAAUAAAAUCUUGUUGCUGAGAGCUUCCUAUUAAAUCAUUUCACAGUCUUUUCUCCAUUUAAUUUUCUUCAGCUGAAUGUUUACUCAUGAGUCAAUUAGCCACAACUUUGUUUGUUCUAUUAAAUGUCAUCACAUCACCAUGAGCUCACCGCAGCAAGUGUUCAUCAACAAAAGCAUUGUCAUGUCUGGCUGCUACAGGCUGGCCUCAGACUGCCCCCACCCAAGAGGCUGCCUACCCAGUGACUCUGGCCUGGCUGAAGGCAAUCAGUGGGACUGGUGUGGGUGACCUCUAGUCUGAAGACACGUCUAUGCAGACUAUAUGACCAGAAUUGUACACCAUGGAGUUUAUGCAGAUAAGUCUUGUAAUGACUGUUAGCCUGCCAGGCUGUGAAGGGUUAUGAGCGGCAUAAUCCAGCUGGCUGCCUUCUACACUGUUAGCUGAGACGCAGUAGCUCACUGUGUGUGUGCUAUUAUUCCAUUGUGAAGCAAAGUAGCAUGAGUUCAUGUGAGUCACAGUCAACUGAUCCCAUUUCUUCCUGCAGUGUAGUAAAGUAUCCCACUCAGUUACCACAUCUCCAAUGAAGGAUUCCACCUAACAGCUGGAGGACAGUAACCUCUACAGGCCAGUAAAGUCCUUCAAUCGGACAAAACCUUAAUUUUCUUUAAUUAUCACACUGUUUUUAGAAUACAAAACUAGUAGUGGUACUUCAUUACUUGAAACAGUGUAGAAUCUCAGCUUUCCAAAUGGAGUAACUUGGGCAAUAUUCCAGAUGAUAAUGAAGUCAGAGAAGAACGAGAAAUCUUCCAUCUGCUUUGAAAAUUAAUCUUUUCUCUUGUUUUGAUUUCCCUUGCUUACCAUAACUGUGUUCUAAGUAUUUAACUUCAAUUUUCUUAUUAGAUUUUAGGUGAUAUUUAUCUAACUCAUUUUCUUAAUCAGAUUAAUGCAAUUAUUCAUUUAUGUUCCUACAAACCUCUCUCUCAGAUGAUUUUGUAUCAUACUCCUGCCAUCCCCCAUGCUUUUGCUACCUUGUUACCUUUUGCUGAUAAAAGGAAAAAACAGAGUAUAUGGUGAAGAUUCCGGUCAUGCAAUUGAAGAUGUUUUCCUAUGGCAGAAAUGCACAUUUGCAAAGAUUUUAGAAGAGAUGAGUGACUCAGCACAUCGUUGUUCCACUACACACAAUAUAAAGCUUGAUAAUACAUGCAAAGGUUGACUCUUAUUAACAGGUUUUGGUAUAGAAAAAAGAAAACUGAAAAUAAUCACCGUGCCUACCCUUAAAGAAUCUUUU